AGAUUGAACGCUGGCGGAAUGCCUUACACAUGCAAGUCGAACGGCAGCACGGGAGCAAUCCUGGUGGCGAGUGGCGAACGGGUGAGUAAUACAUCGGAACGUGCCCAAUCGUGGGGGAUAACGUAGCGAAAGCUACGCUAAUACCGCAUACGAUCUACGGAUGAAAGCAGGGGAUCGCAAGACCUUGCGCGAAUGGAGCGGCCGAUGGCAGAUUAGGUAGUUGGUGGGGUAAAGGCUCACCAAGCCUUCGAUCUGUAGCUGGUCUGAGAGGACGACCAGCCACACUGGGACUGAGACACGGCCCAGACUCCUACGGGAGGCAGCAGUGGGGAAUUUUGGACAAGUGGGCGCGAAGCCUGAUCCAGCCAUUCCGCGUGCAGGAUGAAGGCCGUUCGGUUGUAAACUGUACGUUUUGUAACGGAACGUAAAGUCCUUUACUACUAAGUACAGGUAGUCAGUCGACGUACCGUAAGAA
This 475-nucleotide ribosomal RNA is filed under the name uncultured soil bacterium. RNAcentral describes it as "bacterial SSU rRNA". It matches the Rfam family "Bacterial small subunit ribosomal RNA", at positions 26 to 509 of the family's 1533-position model. The record is from RNAcentral.